This 82-nucleotide transfer RNA is filed under the name Amniculicola lignicola CBS 123094. It matches the Rfam family "tRNA". Rfam says of the family: Transfer RNA (tRNA) molecules are approximately 80 nucleotides in length. Their secondary structure includes four short double-helical elements and three loops (D, anti-codon, and T loops). The record is from Rfam by way of RNAcentral. Lineage: Eukaryota; Fungi; Ascomycota; Dothideomycetes; Pleosporales; Amniculicolaceae.
GGGCUUGUGGUUUAGUGGUAUAAUUUUCCCUUAGCAUGUCGAAGCGUGGGAAAGGUCCUGGGUUCGAUUCCCAGCAAGUCCA